Long non-coding RNA from Oncorhynchus tshawytscha (Chinook salmon), 6447 nucleotides. Lineage: Eukaryota; Metazoa; Chordata; Actinopteri; Salmoniformes; Salmonidae. The record is from Ensembl.
UUGCAAAUCAUUGUUGGCUGACUGCAGCAGCAGUAGUACGGGUUCGACUAGCCAAAACCAAUGAAUAUAGUUGGACACGAAUGUUUGAUCUUGAACAGAACUUACAACAUCAAUCAAAAUUGUACAGAAAAUAGUGGGUCUGUACCUGAACAAAUGUAAAAUAAUAUUUUUUUGCUGAGAUGGCCAGUCAAUUUGAGUAACGUCAUUGUAUUAUUCGUAAUGACACAGUUUUCAUUACGUUCUCACAAUGACAUCGCAACGUCAAUUAGCAACAAAUCAACCUGCCUCGAUGCGAUCACCAUAUAAAUUAAACGAUGAAAAAGCCUGGAAGGAGGAGAGAUGACUAGAAACGAUUCGGUUGGCCGGUUUGUGUGGAUUAAUUGUCGGAGUAGAGGUCCUUGUGCAUUUCAGGUGGGUCAGCUAUGGCGGUGGCGGUCUAUGAAGAAACUGAAUGCAGAAAACUGCCCUGCACAGGACACAAAUCUUCCACCAGAAACAAGCUCAGCACUGGAAUCUGGUACCUCCAUCUCUAGCAGUAGAGAGGUGUUGCCAGCUCCACCAACAGCUAUCCUGGAGAAUAUGAAUGAAUCUGGAGAGCUAAACCUGAACUUGGCUGAGGGAGGCAAGGGUGGGGGAAGAGUGUAGAGAGGGUAUUCACUGGUGAUGAGGAUACAAGUGGGAUUGUUAAAGAGCUGAGUUGGAACUCCGGUUACCGUGAUAAGGAGGAAAGGAGAGAUGCUUUCUCAGAGGGUGUGAGUGACACAGUCAGUGCAGAGUGGAGAGAGGGAGACUGCUUUGUCCCAGUUGGAGUAGAGGUGACUGAGAUGGCUGCUGAGGGGGAGUUUGAAGAUGGGAUGAGAGCUGAAAUGAAAGAGGGAAAGGGGACAAACAGUUAUGAGUCAGGGGAGGAGUUGGUUGCUGAGAGGGCUGUGAAGAGAAAGAUACAGAGGGAAAACUAGUCCUAGAGAAAGAACACAAGGUGGCUCCCAAGAGGAAGAAUAUAAGGAAACGCAGACGAUCAGCCAAACCUCAAUGUGACAAAGAGGCAAAUUCCAGUGCUUCCUUUGUAGAGACUGUUCUCUCAUGGCUACUGUCAGUCUUCCUAUGGCUGCAGGCAUUCUCACCAACAAUGUUAUGCUGGUCCCCAAAUAGUUUAUUUUGUAUAGUCAUGCUCGGGGUGGCAUCUGGCACUGGGGGUGUCUUUACAAGCACCGAUCACCAGAGUUUGUCAUGCAUCGCCUGCAAGAGUCCUGGAUGUGCUGCUGAUGUGACUAAGAUAUGGUGUGGAGAGGAUGAACUGUUGAAGGGGUUUACUGAUCCCACUCUGCACAAGCAUUUCCCAAAAGUCCAAGACUGUUUGCCAGCAUGCUGGUCGGACAUUUGUGCUUAUGAUUGAAGAGGGCAAGAAGUGUGAUAUGGAACAAUAUCAUGACCAUGUGCCCUCUGAAAAGACAGAGUGUCCAUCAUUGUUGGAGGCUGCUCAAGACUCAAGGUUGGACACUGUUCGAGGCAAGCUAUCUGUCCAUAGGGUCUGUUUGUUUAUGCAACACAGACAAAAACAUGUUUCUGAGUUAACUUAAAAUAUUACAUUUUCAUCGUUUAGUUUUUGUGAAUCUUAUUUAAUUUUUUCUCUUGUUCUUUACAUAGGUGACACCACUUUGUCAGCACCAACUCUCAAUGGUGAGCUAUAACAGAAGGGUUAGGUUUUAACUGUGUAUUAUUCUGAAUUAUUAACUAGGUAGUUCGAGCCCUGAAUGCCGAUUGGCUGACAGCUGUGGUAUAUCAGACCGUAUUCCACGGAUAUGACAGAACAUGUAUUUUUACUGAUCUAAUUACAUUGGUAACCAGUUUAUAGUAGCCAUAAGGCACCUCAGGGGUUUGUGGUAUAUGGCCAAUAUGUCACGGCUAAGGUCUGUAUCCAGGCACUCCAUGUUGCAUUGUGCAUAAGAACAGGCCUUAGGCGGGGUAUAUUGGCCAUAUACCAUAUCGAGUCGUGGCUGAACGACUACGCGGACAAUAUAGAGCUGGAGGGAUUUUCAAUGCACCGGCAGAACCGAGAAGCUAUGUCUGGUAAGACAAGGGGUGGGGUUGUGUCUUUUUAUCAAUAACAGCUGGUGCACGAUGUCUAAUAUAAAACAAGGGAUUGCUCGCCUGAGGUAGAGUACCUUAUCAUAAGCUGUAGACCACACUAUCUACCAAGAGUUCUCAUCUAUAUUAUUCGUAGCCGUCUACAUACCACCACAGACCGAUGCUGGCACUAAGAGCUCACUCAACCAACUCUAUAAGGCCAUAAGCAACAAAGAAAAUGCUCACCUAGAAGUGGCACUCCUAGUGGCCUGGGACUUUAAUGCAGGCAAACUUAAAUCUGUUUUACCAAAUUUUUACGAGCAUGUCACAUGUGCAACCAGAGGGGGGAAAAAAACUCUAGACCACCUUUACUCCACACAUAGAAACGCAUACAAAGCUCUCCCCCGCCCUCCAUUUGGCAAAUCUGACCAUAGUUCUAUCCUCCUGAUUCCUGCUUACAAGAAAAAAUGAAAUCAGGAAGUACCAGUGACUCGCUCAAUACAGAAGUGGUCAGAUGAUGCGGAUGCUACGCUAAAGGACUGUUUUGCUAGCACAGACUGGAAUAUGUUCUGGGAUUCAUCCAAUGGCAUUGAGGAGUAUAUCACCUCAGUCAUCGGCUUCAUCAAUAAGUGCAUCAACAACGACGUCGUCUCCACGGUGACCGUACGUACAUAUCCAAACCAGAAGCCAUGGAUUACAGGCAACAUCUGCAUCGAGCUAGAGGCAGGGCUUAAACUAUUACGGACUACAAAGGGAAACCCAGACACGAGCUGCCCAGUGACGCGGGCCUACCGGAGGAGCUAAAUGCCUUUUUAUGCUCGUUUCAAGGCAAGCAACACUGAAGCAUGCACGAGAGCACUAGCUGUUUGGAUGACUGUGUGAUAAUGCUCUCGGUAGCCAAUGUGAGAAAGACCUUUAAACAGGUCAACAUUCACAAAGCUGCGGAGCCAGAUGGAUUACCAGGACAUGUACUUGUACCAGACCUUCAGUUUCUUGGCAAUUUCUCACAUGGAAUAGCCUUCAUUUCUCAGAACAAGAAUAGACUGAUGAGUUUCAGAAGAAAGUUAUUUGUUUCUGGCCAUUUUGUGCCUGUAAUCGAACCCAUAAAUGCUGAUGCUCAAGAUACUCAACUAAUCUAAAGGACAGUUUUAUUGCUUCUUUAAACAGAACAACAGUUUACAGCUGUGCCAACAUAAUUGCAGAAGGAAUUUCUAAGAAUCAGUUAGCCUUUUUAAAAUGAUAAACUUGGAUUAGCUAACACAACGUGCCUUUGGAACACAGGAGUGAUGGUUGCUGAUAAUGGGCCUCUGUACACCUAUGUAGAUAUUCCAUUAAAAAUCAGCUGUUUCCAGCUAUAAUAGUCAUUUACUACAUUAACAAUGUCUACACUGUAUUUCUGAUCAAUUUGAUGUUAUUUUAAUUGACCAAAAAUGUGUUUCUUUCAAAAACAAGGACAUUUUAUAAAUGACCCCAAACUUUUGAACGGUAUUGUAUGUGAGAAUGCUGUUCAUUGACUACAGCUCAGCAUUCAACACCAUAGUCCCCACGAAGCUCAUCACUAAGCUAAGAACCCUGGGACUAAAUACCUCCCUCUGCAACUGGAUCCUCGACUUGCUGACUGUCUGUCCCCAGGUGGUAAGGAUAGGCAACCACACGUCUGCCACGCUGAUCCUCAACACUGGGGCCCUUCAGGGGUGUGUACUUAGUCCCCUCCUGUACUUCCUGUCCACCCACGACUGCGUGGCCAAACACGACUGCAACACCAUCAUUAAGUUUGCUGACUACACAACAGUGAUCACUGACAACGAUGAGACGGCCUAUAGGGAGGAGGUCAGAGAACUGGCAGUGUAGUGCCAGGACAAGAACCUCUCCCUCAACGUGAGCAAGACAAAGGCGCUGAUCGUGGACUACAGGAAAAGGUGGCCGAACAAGUCCCCUUUAACAUUAACUGGGCUGUAGUGGAGCGGGUCGAUAGUUUCAAGUUCCUUGGUGUCCACAUCACCAAUGAUCUAUCAUGGUCCAAACACACCAAGACAGUCAUGAAGAGGGCACGACAAAACCUUUUUCCCCCUCAGGAGACUGAAAAGAUUUGGCAUGGGUCCCCAGAUCCUCAAAGUUCAACAGCUGCAUCAUCGAGAGCUCUGGUUGCAUCACCACCUGGUAUGGCAACUGCUCAGCAUCUGACCAUAAGGCGCUACUGAGGGUGGUGCGUAUGGCCCAGUACAUCACUGGAGCCAAGCUUCCCGCAAUCCAGGACCUAUAUAAUAGCCAUACGACUGCUGAACAAUUAAUCAAAUGGCCAUCAGACUAUUACAUUUACAAUCCCCCCUUUGUUUUGUAUACUGCUGCUAACUGUUUAUUACCUAUGCAUAGUCACUUCACCCCUACCUACAUGUACAAAUUACCUGUACCCACGCACACUGACUCGGUACCGGUACCCCCUGUAUAUAGCCUAUUUAUUGUUAUGUUAUUAUUAUUUUUUACUUUAGUUUAUUUGGUAAAUAUUUUCUUAACUCUUCUUGAACUGCACUGUUUAAGGACUUGUAAGUAAACAUUUCAUGGUAAGGUCUACACUUGUUGUAUUCGGUGCAUGUGACAAAGGUUGAUUUGAUUCAACAGCUGAUAUGACUACCUCACCACCACCUGAAAAUGGUAAGAUCCAAUAGACAGAAUUACAAAGGUCAAACUGCCAUGUUUGUGCAAUUAAACAGUUUGUGAUUUUCUGUUCCCAUAGGUUCAUUGUUCGUCGGAGUCAUUGUCAUUUUAGUUAUUGGUACAUUUCAUUGAAAAGUGGGGGGGGGGGGACAAGCCUUUUGCUCCCUUGUUUCUUGCCAAUGGAAUGCUCUCCCUUACCCUCUGAGUGCUGCUCCACCAAUCCAAGCUUUUAAAAUGGGCCUUUAAAACCCACUUCUACAGACUUUUUCUCAUAGGUCUAAUCCCAAUCUGAAAACUGUUUUUUUUUUUGUGCAUCUAGCCCAUUUGCAUUUUUCUUUGCUUAAGUAGAGCCUUGAGAAGGACUCUAAGGAAAAGCACUAUGCACAUUAAAUGCAUUAUUAUUAAUAUUAGAUGGCUCUGCUACUGCUUUUCCUGUCGCCGCUGGCAUGGCUGUAGUUAAUCCUUUACUUGUAUUGCUAAAGUACUUCUACAGAAUAUGUCUUAUAAACAUGAAUUUGUAUAUUUUGUGAAGCGGGUCUUGCAGGCAUAACUAAUAUCAAUGAUUGCUUGAGGGCUAAGCUUUGAUGCUGCUGUAUCUGCUGCUGCUCUUGCCAUGGUCUCCUGUAUUCUUCUUCUGUUUAUUUCCUGGGCUUGAUUGCCUGACACUGCAGGGAUUAUCCUGUUACGAGGUGAGAUAUUAGUUUCUUUAGAAUAUCUUCCACAUUAUAUUCACCUGAUACUUAAUCAGUUCCAUGUUGAAAUUAUUGCUUCAUCUAUAGUUCCAGGUGCAGUUUAGCACCAUUAGAGCUUGCAUUACUCCUCUCAAAUGCUAGGAUCACAGUAUUAAGUCUUUGAAAGUAAUGUUUUUGAUUAAUUGGCACUUUUCUCUGUCAGGCUUUAUUGGUGUCGUUGUUGCAGUCUAUUUGAUCAGACAAAAGCAGCAGGGUGCCAGUAGAAACCAAGAUGAAGAGACUGAGAUGAGUGCUCUGAACAACGGUAUCAAUCAGAAUGGAGGUCCUGCCAAUAGAGACCAUAAUGAAGAGGUGGCUGUGAACAUGUUUGACAAUGGGGGAGCCAUCGGCAGUAAUGAGGGCCCGUGGAGCUGUCUCCGGCAGCAUGGUUAGCAAAGAGACUAUGGUACUAAUUGACCUGGCUCGUCUAUGAAGUGCCACAUUUUGAACAUGAACAUAAAAAACACAUCUUACAUUUUCAUUUCAACAGAGUGCGUGUUUGUGUAACUUGUGUUUUCAACAUAUUUCAGUGUGGAACAUAGAUGGCAUAAGACCCUGAUUUUAUUGAUCAGUGAAAAUGGAAUGCAAAUUAUUAAGGGAACUGCUUUGGGGCUUCACAUUUUUUGCUUUUUUUCCCAUCCUAUGGCUUACCUGUCCAUAUUUGUUCAAAUAAAUGAAAGAAUUAUGAACAAUUAGGUUGUCAUUCAAUCAACUCUAUGUUAAUUGCAGCAAUUAUAUAUGAGUUAUUCUACUUUUAAUUGUAGCCCUUGAGAUUUUGAGUGAACUCUGAUUUGGUUUUCACAUGCAUUUCUUUAUCCUUACUAGCAGAUUUUGAAAGUUUUAUGUUGAUACUUCACUUGAAUAGCUGUAGACACAUGACCUUAUACAUUUUUUAUCAUUAUGUAAUCUUUUGGGUAAGUUUGAGGAAAUCUCCUUGUAACCUGUCAAUAAUAAAACCUCAUAACACACUGUGUUUAACAUUCAUAAAACCCUA